This 144-nucleotide unclassified non-coding RNA is filed under the name uncultured Ascomycota. RNAcentral's name for it is "sequence contains ITS1". Lineage: Eukaryota; Fungi; Ascomycota. The record is from RNAcentral.
CAGAGUUGAAAAACUCCCAAACCCAUGUGAACUUACCACUUGUUGCCUCGGCGCGUCGCCGCUCCUUCGUGAUGCGGCGGCCGCCGGCGGACCUCUAAACUCUUGUUAUUUUGAGUCAUCUGAGCGUCUUAUGUAAAUAAGUCA